GUAGAUAUAGUUUAACAAAAACAUUAGAUUGUGAUUCUAAAACAGGGGUUAGAAUCCCCUUAUCCACC
RNAcentral lists this transfer RNA (68 nucleotides) under Howella brodiei (pelagic basslet). RNAcentral's name for it is "tRNA-His". It matches the Rfam family "tRNA". From Rfam's summary of the family: Transfer RNA (tRNA) molecules are approximately 80 nucleotides in length. Their secondary structure includes four short double-helical elements and three loops (D, anti-codon, and T loops). Lineage: Eukaryota; Metazoa; Chordata; Actinopteri; Acropomatiformes; Howellidae. The record is from RNAcentral.